RNAcentral lists this ribosomal RNA (1361 nucleotides) under metagenome. RNAcentral's name for it is "bacterial LSU rRNA". It matches the Rfam family "Bacterial large subunit ribosomal RNA", at positions 1550 to 2925 of the family's 2925-position model. The record is from RNAcentral.
UCCAUUCUGAGGCGUGAUGGGGAAGGCCAUAUAGGCCGAAGUACAUGAUUCCAUGCUUCCAAGAAAAGCAUCUAGAGAGAGAAGUAGUGCCCGUACCGCAAACCGACACAGGUAGAUGAGGAGAGAAUCCUAAGGCCGGCGGAAGAAUUGCAGUUAAGGAACUAGGCAAAUUGACCCCGUAAGUUCGCGAGAAGGGGUGCCUGCGAGAGCAGGCCGUAGAGAAUAGGCCCAAGCAACUGUUUAGCAAAAACACAGGUCUCUGCUAAAGCGUAAGCUGAUGUAUAGGGGCUGACGCCUGCCCGGUGCUGGAAGGUUAAGGGGAACACUUAGCGCAAGCGAAGGUGUGAACUUAAGCCCCAGUAAACGGCGGCCGUAACGAUAACGGUCCUAAGGUAGCGAAAUUCCUUGUCAGGUAAGUUCUGACCCGCACGAAUGGCGUAAUGACUUGGGCACUGUCUCAACUGCAAAUCCGGCGAAGUUGUAGUGCGAGUGAAGAUGCUCGCUACCCGCGAUUGGACGGAAAGACCCCGUAGAGCUUUACUGUAGCUUAGCAUUGAAUUCCGGUAUUGUCUGUACAGGAUAGGUGGGAGACUGGGAAACUAGGGCGUCAGCCUUAGUAGAGUCAACCUUGGGAUACCACCCUGACAGUACUGGGGUUCUAACAGGACGCCAUGAAUCUGGUGACUGGACAUUGUUAGGUGGGCAGUUUGACUGGGGCGGUCGCCUCCUAAAAAGUAACGGAGGCGCCCAAAGGUUCCCUCAGAACGGUCGGAAAUCGUUCGUAGAGUGCAAAGGCAGAAGGGAGCCUGACUGCGAGACAUACAAGUCGAGCAGGGACGAAAGUCGGGCUUAGUGAUCCGGUGGUACCUCGUGGGAGGGCCAUCGCUCAACGGAUAAAAGCUACCUCGGGGAUAACAGGCUGAUCUCCCCCAAGAGUCCACAUCGACGGGGAGGUUUGGCACCGAUGUCGGCUCGUCGCAUCCUGGGGCUGUAGUAGGUCCCAAGGGUUGGGCUGUUCGCCCAUUAAAGCGGCACGCGAGCUGGGUUCAGAACGUCGUGAGACAGUUCGGUCCCUAUCCGUCGCGGGCGUAGGAAAUUUGAGAGGAGCUGUCCUUAGUACGAGAGGACCGGGAUGGACUGACCUCUGGUGCACCAGUUGUUCUGCCAGGAGCAUGGCUGGGUAGCUAAGUCGGGAAGGGAUAAACGCUGAAAGCAUCUAAGCGUGAAGCCUCCCUCAAGAUGAGAUUUCCCAUAGCAUAAGCUAGUAAGACCCCUUGAAGAACACAAGGUUGAUAGGUCAGAGGUGUAAGUGCGGUAACGUAUUUAGCUGACUGAUACUAAUAGGUCGAGGGCUUGACCAA